GAAGUGCAAAGCCGCGAGGUGGAGCCAAUCCCCAAACGGCCUCUCAGUUCGGAUAGUAGUCUGCAACUCGACUACUUGAAGUCGGAAUCGCUAGUAAUGGCGGAUCAGCAUGCCGCCGUGAAUACGUUCCCGGGUCUU
This 138-nucleotide ribosomal RNA is filed under the name uncultured bacterium. RNAcentral describes it as "partial 16S ribosomal RNA". It matches the Rfam family "Bacterial small subunit ribosomal RNA", at positions 1244 to 1382 of the family's 1533-position model. The record is from RNAcentral.